This 432-nucleotide ribosomal RNA is filed under the name uncultured bacterium. Its description in RNAcentral is "partial 16S ribosomal RNA". It matches the Rfam family "Bacterial small subunit ribosomal RNA", at positions 29 to 506 of the family's 1533-position model. The record is from RNAcentral.
AGCGAACGCUGGCGGCAGGCCUAACACAUGCAAGUCGAACGAACUCUUCGGAGUUAGUGGCGGACGGGUGAGUAACACGUGGGAACGUGCCUUUUGGUUCGGAAUAACUCAGGGAAACUUGUGCUAAUACCGAAUGUGCCCUUCGGGGGAAAGAUUUAUCGCCAUUAGAGCGGCCCGCGUCUGAUUAGCUAGUUGGUGAGGUAACGGCUCACCAAGGCGACGAUCAGUAGCUGGUCUGAGAGGAUGACCAGCCACACUGGGACUGAGACACGGCCCAGACUCCUACGGGAGGCAGCAGUGGGGAAUCUUGCGCAAUGGGCGAAAGCCUGACGCAGCCAGGCCGCGUGAAUGAUGAAGGUCUUAGGAUUGUAAAAUUCUUUCACCGGGGACGAUAAUGACGGUACCCGGAGAAGAAGCCCCGGCGAACUUCGU